AUUGAACGCUGGCGGUAUGCUUAACACAUGCAAGUCGAACGGCAGCACGGUCUGUAGUAAUACAGAUGGGUGGCGAGUGGCGGACGGGUGAGUAAUACGCAGGAAUCUGCCCUAUAGAGGGGGAUAACUCGAGGAAACUCGAGCUAAUACCGCAUAGUCUCUACGGAGUAAAGCUGGGGCAACCUGGCGCUAUAGGAGGAGCCUGCGUCUGAUUAGCUAGUUGGUGGGGUAAAGGCCUACCAAGGCGACGAUCAGUAGGUGGUCUGAGAGGAUGAUCACCCACACUGGGACUGAGACACGGCCCAGACUCCUACGGGAGGCAGCAGUGGGGAAUAUUGGACAAUGGGGGCAACCCUGAUCCAGCAAUACCGCGUGUGUGAAGAAGGCCUUAGGGUUGUAAAGCACUUUAGGCGGGGAAGAAGGUAUGUAUUUUAAGAGAUAACAUAUUUGACGGUACCCGCAGAAUAAGCACCGGCUAACUCUGUGCCAGCCGCCGCAGUAA
RNAcentral lists this ribosomal RNA (502 nucleotides) under uncultured bacterium. RNAcentral's name for it is "partial 16S ribosomal RNA". It matches the Rfam family "Bacterial small subunit ribosomal RNA", at positions 30 to 523 of the family's 1533-position model. The record is from RNAcentral.